GUGCCAGCAGCCGCGGUAAUACGUAGGUGGCAAGCGUUGUCCGGAAUUAUUGGGCGUAAAGCGCGCGCAGGCGGCCUCUUAAGUCUGAUGUGAAAGCCCCCGGCUCAACCGGGGAGGGCCAUUGGAAACUGGGAGGCUUGAGUAUAGGAGAGAAGAGUGGAAUUCCACGUGUAGCGGUGAAAUGCGUAGAGAUGUGGAGGAACACCAGUGGCGAAGGCGACUUCCUGGCCUGUAACUGACGCUGAGGCGCGAAAGCGUGGGGAGCAAACAGGAUUAGAUACCCUGGUAGUCC
Molecule: ribosomal RNA, 292 nt
Filed under: uncultured microorganism
Description: partial 16S ribosomal RNA
Rfam family: Bacterial small subunit ribosomal RNA
Source: RNAcentral